GAUGAACGCUGGCGGCGUGCCUAAUACAUGCAAGUCGAGCGAACAGACGAGGAGCUUGCUCCUCUGACGUUAGCGGCGGACGGGUGAGUAACACGUGGAUAACCUACCUAUAAGACUGGGAUAACUUCGGGAAACCGGAGCUAAUACCGGAUAACAUGUUGAACCGCAUGGUUCAACAGUGAAAGACGGUCUUGCUGUCACUUAUAGAUGGAUCCGCGCCGCAUUAGCUAGUUGGUAAGGUAACGCCUUACCAAGGCAACGAUGCGUAGCCGACCUGAGAGGGUGAUCGGCCACACUGGAACUGAGACACGGUCCAGACUCCUACGGGAGGCAGCAGUAGGGAAUCUUCCGCAAUGGGCGAAAUCCUGACGGAGCAACGCCGCGUGAGUGAAGAAGGUCUUCGGAUCGUAAAACUCUGUUAUUAGGGAAGAACAAAUGUGUAAGUAACUAUGCACGUCUUGACGGUACCUAAUCAGAAAGCCACGGCUAACUACGUG
RNAcentral lists this ribosomal RNA (497 nucleotides) under uncultured bacterium. RNAcentral's name for it is "partial 16S ribosomal RNA". It matches the Rfam family "Bacterial small subunit ribosomal RNA", at positions 28 to 507 of the family's 1533-position model. The record is from RNAcentral.